CCCAUUUACCUAUUUUUCAUCUAAUUUUAACUAUAUUAGAUUGGUUUAUGCAAAAGCUUUAAAAUUUUUUAUUAUACCUUUUUAUUGACAGAACAUACACAUGGGUAAUUUUUGCAAAAUUGUUCCUUGCACUCACUUCUGUUUCAACUUUUCCCUUCCCUCCCUCCAGCCCCCUCCCCUAAAUGGCAGGCAGUUUCAUACAUGCUAAACAUGUUAAAGUAUAUCUUAGAUACAACAUAUGUGUCCAGAUCCGUACAGUUCUCUUGUUGCAUAAGAAAAAUUGGAUUCAGAAGGUAAAAAUAACCUGGGAAGAAAAACAAAAAUGCAAGUAGUCCACAUUCAUUUCUCAGUGUUCUUUCUCUGGGUGUGUAGCUGAUUCUGUCCAUCAUUGAUCAACUGGAACUGAACUGGAUCUUCUCUUUGUUGAAGAUAUCCACUUCCAUCAGAAUUGAUCCUCAUACAGUAUUGUUGUUGAAGUGUAUAAUGAUCUCCUGGUUCUGCGCAUUUCAUUUAGCAUAAGUUCAUGUAACUCUCUCCAAGUCUCUCUGUCUUCAUCCUGCUGGUCAUUUCUUACAGAACAAUAACAUUCCAUAACAUUCAUAUACCACAAUUUACCCAACCAUUCUCCAAUUGAUGGGCAUCCACUCAGUUUCCAAUUUCUGGCCACUACAAAGAGGGCUGCCACAAACAUUUUGGCACAUACAGGUCCCUUUCCCUUCUUUAAUAUCUCUUUGGGAUAGAAACCCUGUAGUAACACUGCUGGAUCAAAGGGUAUGCCCAGUUUGAUAACUUUUUGAGCAUAAUUCCAAAUUGCUAUUCAGAAUGGCUGGAGUCCGUUAGACUUCUGCUAACUUUUUCAGUAGUCUUUGUUAAAUAGUGAGGUUUUCCUUUAAUAUUUUGGUUUAAGUUUAUGGAACACAAUGCUACUAUGUUGCUUCUUUAUGCUAUAUUUUUAAUUUUUUCUAUUGACUAAUUUUUUCAACCAGUCUAAAUCAUUUUAAUGAUGAACAAUUUAUAGUAUAGUUUGAGAUCUAGUACCUCUAGAUCUACUUUUUUUCAUUAUUACCCAUUAAUUUCUUAAUUUUUUGAUACUUAUCAAAUUUUUUACUGUUUUUUCUAGCUCAGUAAAAUAUAUUUUUGGUAGUUUAAUUGGCAUGACACUGGAUAAAUAAAUUAAUUUAGCUAAUAUUGUAAUUUUUAUCAUAUUGCUCAAUCUAACCAUGAAAAAGUUUUAGGAAUGAUCUUUAGACCUCUUCGUUGCUGUAACUACUUUACCCUGAUUAAACUUCUAGGAAAUUAAGAUACUCAAAGUCAAUAUAUUUACUUUUUAUUUAUUUGCCAUUUUUUUAUAGCUAAGCAAACUGCUAAGAACUAAAACUAAUGUAUUACUUUUUAUUCAUAUCAUAUUUUUAAAAAAUUAAUUUCUUUUUAAAGAGCCAAGUUUGUUUAAAUAGGUUGGCUCAGAGUUUUGAUUUCCCCAUCUUUCUUCUUUCUUCUAAUUUUGUAGUAAUUUUGAUCUUUGACCAGCUAAUAAUCUGAAUGCUUUCAAAUAAUUGGUUCUAAAAUAAUUCACAUGUUGGUAACCAGUUGCUUCUUAUCUGAUAAAAUGUGGUCAGUGUCAGUUUUUAUGGUUGUUAACCUUCCUAGUAGUAAGUAUUUAUGAGAUACAGGCACAAGACUCCUGAAUAAUCUAUAAGCUCUGGCAUCUUAUUUUCCAACAUAUUUCUCUCUUCCCUUCCCUGGCUCCUAUACGUCAAAGUUACAUAGUAAAUAUUUAAUAAUUGCUUGUUCACUGAUAUGUUAAUUUUUAAAGAUUUUUUUGUAGAAUUAUUUUCAUCUUCUGUAAUAAAUCUUGGUAUAAUAAGCUGCAUCUAUCUUUAUGGUUCUCAAGUUCUGCAAGGUGAUAUGACCAUGUAGCUGAGCAAAUGAAAGUUUUUUAGUCUUUGGAUGCAAGAUGAAACCAACUCUUCCAAUUUAUUUGCUUUUUUGAGGAAAACUAAUGAAUCAUCCUUCCAUCUAACUGUAAUUUCUUUAGGUUUUCUGGUUUCAUUUCUGGUGACAAUAUCUAUAGAUAACAUUUAGUUCCCUCAACAGUGUAUUAAAUUGUUUGUUAACAAAGACUUCACAUUUAGAAUAUAAAUAUUUAGAUUGAGGAUCCUUCAAGCUGGAAAAGCCCCAGAAUAUUUUACUUGCAGAUAGUAAUUGUUCUUAGGAAUCUUAGGUAGAGUAUGAUACAAGAGGAAAAAGCAUAAGAAUUAGAAUAAGAGCUGGGUUGGCUCUAUUACUUUCAAGCCCUGACUUUGGGAAAGUUGGCAAAUGACUUAAAAACUAUGAGAUUCUUAGCACACUUUGCCAUUGACACUAAAGAUAAAGAGGAAUAGAUUGGAACUUCUCCACACUUAGUGAAGCUGGUUCUUUACUCAGGAGGCACAUUCUGUUAUUAAGACUAUACAUAUUCUAAGCCUCUUGCGAUUAACUGACCCAGUUAGAAUUUUUGUUGUGCUGGCAAAAAUUUCACAAAUUCUAUAUCAUUUACAUGUCACAAGAUGAUGUUAGAACAGACUUCUGGAGAAGCUAUAUGAUUUAGCAUUAAGUUAACAUGGGUUGUGGAGAACAGGAUUUUCUGACAUUAAAAGCACAUAAAUUGAUAAAUGCAAUAUUUAAGAGAAUUCUUUAUUGUGUCCCCUGGCAUGUGGAUGAAUUAAGCAGCUGCCUAUCUUUCUUACUCUUGGUUCUAGUCCUGUUUCUAAGCAAUCUGAAGCUAUAUUUGUCAUUUGCUCUCCUUUAAUGCCAUAUUUUUUAUGAUUUAAUUUUUCAAUUAAUUCAAGUGGAGGAGGGAAAUAAAAAAAAAAUUACAGAGCAUCUACUAUGAACCGAGUUUUAUAUGUUCUGCACAGGGUCUAUAAUACUGUGGGAAACUAAUAAACCUCAAAAAAAUCAAACAGUGAUUUGAUCCCAAGGUGGACACAGUACAGGGACUCAGAUGAUACAGAGAGCAUGGUACAGAGAGGAAAUAGCCUCAUUUGUUUCUUUAUCCUGCUUCAAAGUCACUGUACCUAUAGGAAUACAACAUAGAUUGAUUCUGGAAAUUAUUAAUGUUUGUGAAUGACUUGAAAACUGUAUGAGUCUUAACAACCUGUGCCUGCUUCUCCACUAUUCUCAGUGUAGAAGUAGGUCCCGUAGGAGCCUUUAUUUAUGUAGGCUGUUUUUCAUGCAGAAGCAGCAUCACCAGGACCCCACAGAAAGCUUUUCCAUCUUAGCUGAACUUGCCAGAAUUUGAGUUCUGCUUGCAUAUGGCUUCAAGACAUGAGUGCAGAGUGUACUCUGCACUUAAUUUCCUUAUCUUUAAAAUAAGUGGGAUAGACUAGUCGAUUUUUAGUUGGGAAGCAUUAUGAUACAAAGGAAAAUAUGCUAGAUUUGGAAUCAAAGGAUCUAGGUCCAAAUGUUGCUUUUUCCACUCAUCAUCUGUAAGAUUUUGAAGCUGUAUGUUCUUCAUCUAUAAAAUGAAGGAGUUGGAUUAGUUCUGGAAAGUCUAAAUCUUAUUUUAUUUAUGUAGCUAUUUGCAUACAUAACGUUUAUGCAUAUGUACCUGCACAUAUCCAUACAUAUACACUUUACAAACUUUUAAGAUGGCAGCAAUUCAAAUUCAUAUAGUGCAAUGACAAAUACUGCGUCCAUUAUUUUAUUUGAACUUAAAACUCCCCAUAUAAAGUCAGUCGGUCAGGGAUUUCUAUUUCCAUUUACCAGGAGCCAAUGUUGUACAGUUGGAAGAAUGCUAGACAGUACAGCAGUUCUGUCAUUUAGUAGCUGAAGAUUAUAGGCAGUUUUUGCCUCUGCCUCAGUUCCCUCAUCUGUAAAAUUUGCCAGAAUUUGAGUUCUGCUUGCAUAUGGCUUCAAGACACGAGGUUCAUCUCCCCACCAUGAUGCUUUAUCACAUACCUCCAAACUGGGUCAGAACAAGAAUGUUUCACCUGGGCAUUCACAAUUUGGGUAGAAAGACCGUUGUUAAUUGUUCUUGGUAGGUAGAAAAUGAUGUUGAAGGAAAAGUGCAGUAAUCAGAAUCACAAGAACUGGGUUCAAACUUUGGCUCUGUUACUUUUUAAAGCAUAAUCCUUAUAUUCCUUCCCUCAGAGCUGCGGAGGAAAGUGCUUUGAAAUUGUAAAGCUCUGGAAAACCUUAUUUUUAAAAUUCCCAUCAGCGGCCAAUGCACAUUUCUUUCCCAAAUUCAGUUUUCCUAUCUACAAAAGGAGGGGGUUAAGCUAGAUGAUCUCUAAAUACCUUAUGAUCUGUAAAAUGGGGAUAAGAACACUUCCUCGUGGUUCUAGUUGUUUCUAAGCAAUCACACUCGCCUCACAGGGAUUGUUGAGAAUUGUAAAUCGUCAAAAAAAGCUUGAACAACAACUCACAUUUCUACAGAUUUUCCCUUCCCAUUCCUCUUGUACAGUUAGUUUCAAAGCAGUCGGGCCAGAAGCCAGCGUCUUUCUUCCCUUUCCCGUUGGCACCUAAUAGGCCUUGUCCUCGUUCCACAUCCUCUUCUUGGGCCUGGCUGAGCCAGUCUCCGGGGCGACCUCCUCCCGGGACUCGGGUCGAGCCUCUGUUUCCAUAGAAACGCAGCUCUUCGCCGUCCCGCCCCCCUCAUAGCCAUGAUGGACAAGUUGGAGUCUCGUUGCCACAGUGAUCCCAGGUAGAGGCACUAAAUCCGAGUUUAGUCGCCAUGGAGACUAUAGGGAAAGAGGGUUGGGAGGCGGGGAAAGCGAUUCUCUUUGUGGGAGAGAAGCCAGGGAAAGACAAGUAUCCAAAGUCGUCCCUCUUUAAUUAAAAAAAAAAAAAAGGGCGUA
Molecule: long non-coding RNA, 4838 nt
Filed under: Sarcophilus harrisii (Tasmanian devil)
Lineage: Eukaryota; Metazoa; Chordata; Mammalia; Dasyuromorphia; Dasyuridae
Description: lncRNA (ENSSHAG00000020643.1)
Source: RNAcentral